GAUCCUGGCUCAGGACGAACGCUGGCGGCGCGCCUAACACAUGCAAGUCGAACGAGAGAGAGGGAGCUUGCUUCCUCAAUCGAGUGGCGAACGGGUGAGUAACGCGUGAGGAACCUGCCUCAAAGAGGGGGACAACAGUUGGAAACGACUGCUAAUACCGCAUAAGCCCACGACCCGGCAUCGGGUUGAGGGAAAAGGAGCAAUCCGCUUUGAGAUGGCCUCGCGUCCGAUUAGCUAGUUGGUGAGG
This 247-nucleotide ribosomal RNA is filed under the name uncultured bacterium. RNAcentral's name for it is "partial 16S ribosomal RNA". It matches the Rfam family "Bacterial small subunit ribosomal RNA", at positions 15 to 257 of the family's 1533-position model. The record is from RNAcentral.